Molecule: small RNA, 26 nt
Filed under: Arabidopsis thaliana (thale cress)
Lineage: Eukaryota; Viridiplantae; Streptophyta; Magnoliopsida; Brassicales; Brassicaceae
Description: ATSL127150
Source: RNAcentral
UUUUUUCAAAUUUUUUUUUUAGUUUU